UGGGGGAUAUUGCACAAUGGGCGAAAGCCUGAUGCAGCGACGCCGCGUGGGGGAUGAAGGCUUUCGGGUUGUAAACCUCUUUCGCUAUCGAACAAGGCCCGCUUAGGGUGGGUUGAGGGUAGGUGGAGAAGAAGCGCCGGCUAACUACGUGCCAGCAGCCGCGGUAAUACGUAGGGCGCGAGCGUUGUCCGGAAUUAUUGGGCGUAAAGGGCUUGUAGGCGGCUUGUUGCGCCUGCUGUGAAAACGCGGGGCUUAACUUCGCGCGUGCAGUGGGUACGCGCAGGCUUGAGUGUGGUAGGGGUGACUGGAAUUCCAGGUGUAGCGGUGGAAUGCGCAGAUAUCUGGAGGAACACCGAUGGCGAAGGCAGGUCACUGGGCCAUUACUGACGCUGAGGAGCGAAAGCAUGGGUAGCGAACAGG
Molecule: ribosomal RNA, 420 nt
Filed under: bacterium
Lineage: Bacteria
Description: partial 16S ribosomal RNA
Rfam family: Bacterial small subunit ribosomal RNA
Source: RNAcentral